CCUACGGGAGGCAGCAGCUAAGAAUAUUCCGCAAUGGACGAAAGUCUGACGGAGCGACGCCGCGUGGAUGAAGAAGGCCGGACACGCGUUGUAAAAUCCUUUUAAACGGGAAGAAUAAGUCCUGCAGGGAAUGGCAGGGCGGUGACGGUACCGUUUGAAUAAGCAACGGCUAAUUACGUGCCAGCAGCCGCGGUAAU
Molecule: ribosomal RNA, 197 nt
Filed under: uncultured bacterium
Lineage: Bacteria
Description: partial 16S ribosomal RNA
Rfam family: Bacterial small subunit ribosomal RNA
Source: RNAcentral